RNAcentral lists this ribosomal RNA (305 nucleotides) under uncultured bacterium. RNAcentral describes it as "bacterial SSU rRNA". It matches the Rfam family "Bacterial small subunit ribosomal RNA", at positions 334 to 655 of the family's 1533-position model. The record is from RNAcentral.
GAGUCCUACGGGGGGCAGCAGUGGGGGAUAUUGCACAAUGGGGGAAACCCUGAUGCAGCGACGCCGCGUGAGUGAAGAAGGCCUUCGGGUUGUAAAGCUCUUUAAUCAGGGACGAAGAAUGACGGUACCUGAAGAAUAAGCUCCGGCUAACUACGUGCCAGCAGCCGCGGUAAUACGUAGGGAGCAAGCGUUAUCCGGAUUUACUGGGUGUAAAGGGCGUGUAGGCGGGCCUGCAAGUCAGAAGUGAAAUCUGGGGGCUUAACCCCUAAACUGCUUUUGAAACUGUGGGUCUUGAGUGAUGGAGA